AGUUUGAUCCUGGCUCAGGAUGAACGCUGGCGGCGCGCCUAACACAUGCAAGUCGAACGGCACCCAUCUUCGGAUGGAAGCGAGUGGCGAACGGCUGAGUAACACGUGGAGAACCUGCCCCCUCCCCCGGGAUAGCCGCCCGAAAGGACGGGUAAUACCGGAUACCCCCGGGCGCCGCAUGGCGCCCGGGCUAAAGCCCCGACGGGAGGGGAUGGCUCCGCGGCCCAUCAGGUAGACGGCGGGGUGACGGCCCACCGUGCCGACAACGGGUAGCCGGGUUGAGAGACCGACCGGCCAGAUUGGGACUGAGACACGGCCCAGACUCCUACGGGAGGCAGCAGUGGGGAAUCUUGCGCAAUGGGGGGAACCCUGACGCAGCGACGCCGCGUGCGGGACGGAGGCCUUCGGGUCGUAAACCGCUUUCAGCAGGGAAGAGUCAAGACUGUACCUGCAGAAGAAGCCCCGGCUAACUACGUGCCAGCAGCCGCGGUAAUACGUAGGGGGCGAGCGUUAUCCGGAUUCAUUGGGCGUAAAGCGCGCGUAGGCGGCCCGGCAGGCCGGGGGUCGAAGCGGGGGGCUCAACCCCCCGAAGCCCCCGGAACCUCCGCGGCUUGGGUCCGGUAGGGGAGGGUGGAACACCCGGUGUAGCGGUGGAAUGCGCAGAUAUCGGGUGGAACACCGGUGGCGAAGGCGGCCCUCUGGGCCGAGACCGACGCUGAGGCGCGAAAGCUGGGGGAGCGAACAGGAUUAGAUACCCUGGUAGUCCCAGCCGUAAACGAUGGACGCUAGGUGUGGGGGGACGAUCCCCCCGUGCCGCAGCCAACGCAUUAAGCGUCCCGCCUGGGGAGUACGGCCGCAAGGCUAAAACUCAAAUGAAUUGACGGAA
This 886-nucleotide ribosomal RNA is filed under the name uncultured bacterium. RNAcentral's name for it is "bacterial SSU rRNA". It matches the Rfam family "Bacterial small subunit ribosomal RNA", at positions 10 to 918 of the family's 1533-position model. The record is from RNAcentral.